Molecule: ribosomal RNA, 385 nt
Filed under: uncultured bacterium
Lineage: Bacteria
Description: bacterial SSU rRNA
Rfam family: Bacterial small subunit ribosomal RNA
Source: RNAcentral
AACGAACGCUGGCGGCGUGCCUAACACAUGCAAGUCGAGCGCGAAUGGAGCAAUCCUAGUAGAGCGGCGCACGGGUGCGUAACACGUGGGUAAUCUGCCUCAAAGCCCGGGAUAACCUGCCGAAAGGCAAGCUAAUACCGGAUAAGCCUACGGACUCUUCGGGGUCUGAAGGAAAAGGUGGCCUCUGUAUACAAGCUAUCACUUUGAGAUGAGCCCGCGGCCCAUCAGCUCGUUGGCGGGGUAACGGCCCACCAAGGCAACGACGGGUAGCUGGUCUGAGAGGACGAUCAGCCACACUGGAACUGAGACACGGUCCAGACUCCUACGGGAGGCAGCAGUGGGGAAUUUUGCGCAAUGGGCGAAAGCCUGACGCAGCAACGCCGCG